This 279-nucleotide long non-coding RNA is filed under the name Pan troglodytes (chimpanzee). RNAcentral's name for it is "long non-coding RNA NONPTRT018331". The record is from RNAcentral. Lineage: Eukaryota; Metazoa; Chordata; Mammalia; Primates; Hominidae.
CCGAAACGUGAUUAAUGUGACUGAGGAACUGAACUUUUAGUUUCAUUGUGACAUGAUGAAUGAAUUUAUUGAGCCCCAGGAAGAAGGAAAAUUAAAGAAGAGCAAAGAAUAAUAGCUGGACAGAAGAUGGGGGUCAUUGAACCUAUAUCCUAGUUGCCAGACCAGUAAACUGACCACGGGACCUGGGGGAGGCAGCAGAUGACCGAAAACCUGGAGUGAUGUGGCUGAAUACCGCAUGAUCUGAAGACUGCACUGGUGGCUGCGGUAUGGGUCCAAAUU